RNAcentral lists this ribosomal RNA (253 nucleotides) under uncultured bacterium. RNAcentral's name for it is "partial 16S ribosomal RNA". It matches the Rfam family "Bacterial small subunit ribosomal RNA", at positions 524 to 776 of the family's 1533-position model. RNAcentral also lists the same sequence under 1 other name. The record is from RNAcentral.
UACGAGAGGCCCAAACGUUAUUCGGAAUUACUGGGCUUAAAGAGUUCGUAGGCGGCGCAACAAGUGGGGUGUGAAAGCCCUCGGCUCAACCGAGGAAUUGCGCUCCAAACUGUUGUGCUUGAGGGACCUAGAGGUGAGCGGAACUGAUGGUGGAGCGGUGAAAUGCGUUGAUAUCAUCAGGAACACCGGAGGCGAAGGCGGCUCACUGGGGGUCUUCUGACGCUGAGGAACGAAAGCCAGGGGAGCGAACGGG